Molecule: ribosomal RNA, 503 nt
Filed under: uncultured bacterium
Lineage: Bacteria
Description: partial 16S ribosomal RNA
Rfam family: Bacterial small subunit ribosomal RNA
Source: RNAcentral
AUUGAACGCUGGCGGCAGGCUUAACACAUGCAAGUCGAGCGGGGUGAUGGUGCUUGCACUAUCACUUAGCGGCGGACGGGUGAGUAAUGCUUAGGAAUCUGCCUAUUAGUGGGGGACAACAUCUCGAAAGGGAUGCUAAUACCGCAUACGUCCUACGGGAGAAAGCAGGGGAUCACUUGUGACCUUGCGCUAAUAGAUGAGCCUAAGUCGGAUUAGCUAGUUGGUGGGGUAAAGGCCUACCAAGGCGACGAUCUGUAGCGGGUCUGAGAGGAUGCUCCGCCACACUGGGACUGAGACACGGCCCAGACUCCUACGGGAGGCAGCAGUGGGGAAUAUUGGACAAUGGGGGGGACCCUGAUCCAGCCAUGCCGCGUGUGUGAAGAAGGCCUUAUGGUUGUAAAGCACUUUAAGCGAGGAGGAGGCUCUUUUGGUUAAUACCCAAGAUGAGUGGACGUUACUCGCAGAAUAAGCACCGGCUAACUCUGUGCCAGCCGCCGCGAUAA